GGUUGUUGGCGGGUAACGGCCCACCAAGCCUUUUAUCGGUACGGGUUGUGGGAGCAAGAUCCCGGAGAUGGAUUCUGAGACAUGAAUCCAGGCCCUACGGGGCGCAGCAGGCGCGCAAACUUUACAAUGCGAGCAAUCGUGAUAAGGAAACCCUGAGUGCCUGUCGAUGCAGGCUGUUCAUAUAUCUAAAUCAUAUGUGAAGAAAGGGCAGGGCAAGACCGGUGCCAGCCGCCGCGGUAAUACCGGCUGCUCGAGUGAUGGCCACUAUUACUGGGUUUAAAGCGUCCGUAGCUUGACUGUUAGGUCUCUUGGGAAAUCUUCGCGCUCAACGUGAAGGCGUCUAAGAGAUACCGGCAGUCUUGGAACUGGGAGAGGUAAACCGUACUUCGGGGGUAGGAGUGAAAUCUUGUAAUCCUCGAGGGACGACCUAUGGCGAAGGCAGUUUACCAGAACAGCUUCGACAGUGAGGGACGAAAGCUGGGGGAGCAAACGGGAUUAGAUACCCCGGUAGUCCCAGCCGUAAACAAUGUGCGUUAGGUGUGUCGGUAACCACGUGUUACUGAUGCGCCGAAGAGAAAUCGUGAAACGCACCACCUGGGAAGUACGGUCGCAAGGCUGAAACUUAAAGGAAUUGGCGGGGGAGCACCACAACAGGUGGAGCCUGCGGUUUAA
This 672-nucleotide ribosomal RNA is filed under the name uncultured Methanocorpusculum sp. RNAcentral describes it as "bacterial SSU rRNA". It matches the Rfam family "Archaeal small subunit ribosomal RNA", at positions 228 to 905 of the family's 1478-position model. Lineage: Archaea; Methanobacteriati; Methanobacteriota; Methanomicrobia; Methanomicrobiales; Methanocorpusculaceae. The record is from RNAcentral.